This 431-nucleotide ribosomal RNA is filed under the name uncultured eukaryote. RNAcentral describes it as "SSU rRNA". It matches the Rfam family "Eukaryotic small subunit ribosomal RNA", at positions 646 to 1081 of the family's 1831-position model. The record is from RNAcentral.
ACCUGGCCGGGCGGUCUGCCUCACGGUACGUACUGUCCGGCUGGGCCUUACCUCUUGGUGAGCCGGCAUGCCCUUCACUGGGUGUGUCGGGGAACCAGGACUUUUACCUUGAGAAAAUUAGAGUGUUCAAAGCAGGCCUAUGCCCGAAUACAUUAGCAUGGAAUAAUAGAAUAGGACGUGCGGUUCUAUUUUGUUGGCUUCUAGAGUCGCCGUAAUGAUUAAUAGGGACAGUCGGGGGCAUUGGUAUUCAGGCGCUAGAGGUGAAAUUCUUGGAUUGCCUGAAGACUAACUACUGCGAAAGCAUUUGCCAAGGAUGUUUUCAUUGAUCAAGGACGAAGGUUAGGGGCUCGAAAACGAUCAGAUACCGUUGUAGUCUUAACAGUAAACUAUGCCGACUAGGGAUCGGGCGACCUCAAUUUGAUGUGUCGCUC